Molecule: transfer RNA, 77 nt
Filed under: Candidatus Bathyarchaeota archaeon
Lineage: Archaea; Thermoproteati; Candidatus Bathyarchaeota
Also listed under: 3 other names
Description: tRNA-Asn
Rfam family: tRNA
About the family: Transfer RNA (tRNA) molecules are approximately 80 nucleotides in length. Their secondary structure includes four short double-helical elements and three loops (D, anti-codon, and T loops). Further hydrogen bonds mediate the characteristic L-shaped molecular structure. tRNAs have two regions of fundamental functional importance: the anti-codon, which is responsible for specific mRNA codon recognition, and the 3' end, to which the tRNAs corresponding amino acid is attached (by aminoacyl-tRNA synthetases). tRNAs cope with the degeneracy of the genetic code in two manners: having more than one tRNA (with a specific anti-codon) for a particular amino acid; and 'wobble' base-pairing, i.e. permitting non-standard base-pairing at the 3rd anti-codon position.
Source: RNAcentral
GCCGCCGUAGCUCAGUUCGGUAGAGCAACGGGCUGUUAACUCGUGGGUCGAAGGUUCGAGUCCUUCCGGCGGCGCCA